This 264-nucleotide ribosomal RNA is filed under the name uncultured bacterium. Its description in RNAcentral is "partial 16S ribosomal RNA". It matches the Rfam family "Bacterial small subunit ribosomal RNA", at positions 793 to 1055 of the family's 1533-position model. The record is from RNAcentral.
GUCCACGCUGUAAACGAUGAUUACUAGGUGUUGGAGGAUUUGACCCCUUCAGUACCGCAGCUAACGCAUUAAGUAAUCCGCCUGGGGAGUACGGUCGCAAGAUUAAAACUCAAAGAAAUUGACGGGGGCCCGCACAAGCGGUGGAGCAUGUGGUUUAAUUCGACGCAACGCGAAGAACCUUACCUGGGUUUGACAUCCGCGGAAUCCUGCAGAGAUGCGGGAGUGCCUUCGGGAACCGCGAGACAGGUGCUGCAUGGCUGUCGU